Non-coding RNA from Camellia sinensis, 820 nucleotides. Lineage: Eukaryota; Viridiplantae; Streptophyta; Magnoliopsida; Ericales; Theaceae. The record is from RefSeq and is a predicted model, not a curated record.
AUAUAUAUAUAUUAGCAACCGCAGUAAGUGAUGCCAAUAAUAAGUGGCUAAACGGCUUUCUUUAAUUAAUUUUCCCCAAUUUCAAUUUCAUAAUGCUCUUUCUCUCUCUCUCUCCCUAUGAUGGAAGCUCUCAAUGUGCCUUAGCUCUCUCCCGCACUCACCCAUGGUCGUCACAGGUGAUUUCAUUGCAAAUUAGGUGAUUUCAUCGGUGUCUUGUGAGAAUACAAGUCAUUUAACUUGGAAAAUGCUUUGGAAUCUCACACAAAGGCCAAACACAAUGCUAGAAAAUAAAUGGAUUUAAAGAGAGAGCUUCUGAGUUCUGAUUGGAAAAUCUAUGUUUAGUCUAUUAGAGCCCUAGGCUCUCAUGAGUUUCAAUCUUUGAAGCAAGAAACUUCAAUGGCCUCUCCUAAUUCAACCAUCACAGCUACAACAGGUUCUUCAUCUUUAACCUCUGUUUUGCCUUUGAAUCUCACACUAUUAAUAUCGAAUCUCAAUGCUUUUGUCUUCACAAAGCUUGAUUCAACAAAUUAUAUAGUAUGGAGGAGUCAUAUGCAGAACAUGUUAAGAGAACAAAGCUUAUUGGAUAUGUUGAUGGAUCUGAGGUAUGUCCUCCAUCUAUGGUAUUAGACUCAAGUAAUCAUGAAGUUCUUAAUCCAAAUCAUACUCAGUGGCUCAACAUUGAUGCACACCUUUUGAGCUGUUUAACUAUAACCUUGUCUCCAUCUGUAUUUACAACUAUGUUGCACUAUCAAACAAGCCAUUAGGUUUGGAGUGUUCUUGCAAAAAGAUUCACUUCUCUGUCGAGGUCUCAUAAACACCA